RNAcentral lists this ribosomal RNA (468 nucleotides) under uncultured bacterium. RNAcentral's name for it is "partial 16S ribosomal RNA". It matches the Rfam family "Bacterial small subunit ribosomal RNA", at positions 28 to 507 of the family's 1533-position model. The record is from RNAcentral.
GAUGGACGCUGGCGGCGUGCUUAACACAUGCAAGUCGAACGGAAAGGCCAGUGCUUGCACUGGUACUCGAGUGGCGAACGGGUGAGUAACACGUGGGUGAUCUGCCCUGCACUUCGGGAUAAGCCUGGGAAACUGGGUCUAAUACCGGAUAGGACAAUGGUUUGGAUGCCGUUGUGGAAAGUUUUUUCGGUGUGGGAUGAGCUCGCGGCCUAUCAGCUUGUUGGUGGGGUAAUGGCCUACCAAGGCGUCGACGGGUAGCCGGCCUGAGAGGGUGUACGGCCACAUUGGGACUGAGAUACGGCCCAGACUCCUACGGGAGGCAGCAGUGGGGAAUAUUGCACAAUGGGCGCAAACCUGAUGCAGCGACGCCGCGUGGGGGAUGACGGCCUUCGGGUUGUAAACUCCUGUCGCUAGGGACGAAGCGUAUUUGUGACGGUACCUGGAGAAGAAGCACCGGCUAACUACGUG